GGGGAGUCUAGUGGUACGGACAGAAACAGUGGAGGGGAGUCUAGUGGUACGGACAGAAACAGUGGAGGGGGAGUCUAGUGGUACGGACAGAAACAGUGGAGGGGGAGUCUGUAGUGGUACGGACAGAAACAGUGGAGGGGGAGUCUAGUGGUACGGAGAGAAACAGUGGAGGGGGAGUCUAGUGGUACGGACAGAAACAGUGGAGGGGGAUCUGUAGUGGUACGGACAGAAACAGUGGAGGGGGAGUCUGUAGUGGUACGGACAGAAACAGUGGAGGGGGAGUGUAGUGGUACGGACAGAAACAGUGGAGGGG
Molecule: long non-coding RNA, 313 nt
Organism: Oncorhynchus tshawytscha (Chinook salmon)
Lineage: Eukaryota; Metazoa; Chordata; Actinopteri; Salmoniformes; Salmonidae
Source: Ensembl